AAGUCGUAACAAGGUUUCCGUAGGUGAACCUGCGGAAGGAUCAUUAACACGUAUCCAAACGUUAAAACCCCGGCCGUGAACCUUCAUCCUGCUCUGGAAAGUUGUAGUGAUUCAGAGACCUCUGGCUACGUGCGAACAUUGGAACAGUUACAAUCGAGCGGUAGUUCUAUAGGCAAUGUUUCCCCAAGCAGUCAGUGUCGGAAAGUGUCAUUGAUUGUGCAAGGGUGGCGCUUCUACGAUUCCUGUAGACCGUACACUCCGGCAGGAGCUUUGCCAAAGGGUCCCCAUGCCCCCUAAUAACCCCACAGCUUAAUGUGAUACUCAAUGUAAUACAUUGGGUAAAAAAACCGAACAACUGUUAACAAUGGAUAUCUUGGUUCUC
RNAcentral lists this unclassified non-coding RNA (382 nucleotides) under fungal sp. Its description in RNAcentral is "partial internal transcribed spacer region". The stretch from base 1 to 46 matches the Rfam family "Eukaryotic small subunit ribosomal RNA", at positions 1786 to 1831 of the family's 1831-position model. The record is from RNAcentral. Lineage: Eukaryota; Fungi.